RNAcentral lists this unclassified non-coding RNA (343 nucleotides) under Hevea brasiliensis (rubber tree). The record is from RNAcentral. Lineage: Eukaryota; Viridiplantae; Streptophyta; Magnoliopsida; Malpighiales; Euphorbiaceae.
UCGGUGUUCCUAUUCAAAUCCGUCGGUGGAACCGCUUUCACAUACAUUCUCCGUACAGGUGAUAAUAAAAAUAAGAGCUUUUAAAAGAGAAAAGAAAUUACGAUUGCCCAGAAAAGGGGAAGGUGACCCAGUCAAAUAUCGGAUUUGGAGAUAUCUGGUCUCUCUGUAUAGCUUCUUAGGACGUGACGUUGCAGAACGCGAACGAGAGGAAAGAAAGCGAAGAUCUUUCAAUGUGGAUACAAUGGGCAGGGUUGGAGCCCAUCCAAUAUCGUCGAAUCGCACAGCGAGUUGAAUGUAUGUGAGAGAGAACGUGUGUGAGAUGGAUGAUUAAGGGAAGCUAGUU